RNAcentral lists this ribosomal RNA (253 nucleotides) under uncultured bacterium. RNAcentral's name for it is "partial 16S ribosomal RNA". It matches the Rfam family "Bacterial small subunit ribosomal RNA", at positions 524 to 776 of the family's 1533-position model. The record is from RNAcentral.
UACGUAGGGGGCAAGCGUUGUCCGGAUUUAUUGGGCGUAAAGAGCGUGUAGGCGGUUUGGUAGGUCCGUUGUGAAAACUCGAGGCUCAACCUCGAGACGCCGGUUGAAACCAUCUGGCUAGAGUCCGGAAGAGGAGAGUGGAAUUCCUGGUGUAGCGGUGAAAUGCGCAGAUAUCAGGAAGAACACCCGUGGCUAAGGCGGCUCUCUAGUACGGUACUGACGCUGAGACGCGAAAGCGUGGGGAGCGAACAGG